This 206-nucleotide microRNA precursor is filed under the name Oryza rufipogon (brownbeard rice). RNAcentral's name for it is "MIR812 microRNA precursor family". It matches the Rfam family "MIR812 microRNA precursor family". The record is from Rfam by way of RNAcentral. Lineage: Eukaryota; Viridiplantae; Streptophyta; Magnoliopsida; Poales; Poaceae.
AAAAAGGCAAACCUUGGGUUUCCGUGUCCAACUUUGACUGUCCGUCUUAUAUGAAAUUUUUUUAUAAUUCGUAUUUUCAUUGUUGUUAGAUGAUAAAACAUGAUUAAUAUUUUAUGCGUGACUUGUCUUUUUAAUUUUUUUAUAUUUUUUUCAAAAAUAAGACGGACGGUCAAAUAUUGGGCACGGAAACCAGGGUUUGUCUUUUU